UCAAAAACAUGUCUUUUUGAUAAUAAUUUAAAGUCUAAUCUGCCCACUGAUAUAAAUAUUAAAGGGCUGCAGUAUAUUGACUGUACAAAGGUAGCAUAAUCAUUAGUCUUUUAAUUGAAGACUUGUAUGAAGGAUUUGAUGAAAUAUAAUCUGUCUCUAUUUUAUUAAUAGAAAUUAAUUUUUUAGUUAAAAAGCUAAAAUAAUGUUAAAAGACGAGAAGACCCUAUAAAGUUUUAUAGUUUAUUUAUUUUUUAUUAAUUAUAAAAAUAAAUAUAAUAAUUAAGUAAAUUAUUUUAUUGGGGUGAUAGAAAAAUUAAAUAAACUUUUUUUAAAAUAAAACAUAAAUAAGUGAAAUAUUGAUCCAUUAAUAAUGAUUAAAAGAAAAAAUUACUUUAGGGAUAACAGCGUAAUAUUUUUUUUUAGUACGAAUAAAAAAAAAAGUUUGCGACCUCGAUGUUGGAUUAAGAUAAAAUUUAAAUGCAAAAGUUUAAAAUUUUGAUCUGUUCGAUCAUUAAAAUCUUACAUGAUCUGAGCU
This 535-nucleotide ribosomal RNA is filed under the name Phyciodes orseis (Oreis crescentspot). Its description in RNAcentral is "partial 16S ribosomal RNA". The stretch from base 398 to 535 matches the Rfam family "Archaeal large subunit ribosomal RNA", at positions 2542 to 2680 of the family's 2987-position model. Lineage: Eukaryota; Metazoa; Arthropoda; Insecta; Lepidoptera; Nymphalidae. The record is from RNAcentral.